CCUACGGGGGGCAGCAGUGGGGAAUAUUGGACAAUGGGCGAAAGCCUGAUCCAGCCAUGCCGCGUGUGUGAAGAAGGCCUUCGGGUUGUAAAGCACUUUCAGUGGGGAAGAAAGCCUUGGGGCUAAUACCCUCGAGGAAGGACAUCACCCACAGAAGAAGCACCGGCUAACUCCGUGCCAGCAGCCGCGGUAAUACGGAGGGUGCGAGCGUUAUUCGGAAUUACUGGGCGUAAAGCGCGCGUAGGCGGUCUGAUAAGCCGGUUGUGAAAGCCCCGGGCUCAACCUGGGAACGGCAUCCGGAACUGUCAGGCUAGAGUGCAGGAGAGGAAGGUAGAAUUCCCGGUGUAGCGGUGAAAUGCGUAGAGAUCGGGAGGAAUACCAGUGGCGAAGGCGGCCUUCUGGACUGACACUGACGCUGAGGUGCGAAAGCGUGGGUAGCAAACAGGAUUAGAUACCCCAGUAGUC
RNAcentral lists this ribosomal RNA (465 nucleotides) under Vreelandella stevensii. RNAcentral's name for it is "partial 16S ribosomal RNA". It matches the Rfam family "Bacterial small subunit ribosomal RNA", at positions 338 to 795 of the family's 1533-position model. The record is from RNAcentral. Lineage: Bacteria; Pseudomonadati; Pseudomonadota; Gammaproteobacteria; Oceanospirillales; Halomonadaceae.